Molecule: ribosomal RNA, 363 nt
Filed under: Clostridioides difficile
Lineage: Bacteria; Bacillati; Bacillota; Clostridia; Peptostreptococcales; Peptostreptococcaceae
Description: bacterial LSU rRNA
Rfam family: Bacterial large subunit ribosomal RNA
Source: RNAcentral
UGCGUGGAAGGGCCAUCGCUCAACGGAUAAAAGCUACCCUGGGGAUAACAGGCUUAUCUCCCCCAAGCGUCCACAUCGACGGGGAGGUUUGGCACCUCGAUGUCGGCUCAUCACAUCCUGGGGCUGUAGUAGGUCCCAAGGGUUGGGCUGUUCGCCCAUUAAAGUGGUACGCGAGCUGGGUUCAGAACGUCGUGAGCCAGUUCGGUCCCUAUCCGUCGCAGGCGUAGGAAAUUUGAGAAGACCUGUCCUUAGUACGAGAGGACCGGGAUGGACGUACCUCUGGUGUACCAGUUGUCCUGCCAAGGGCAUGGCUGGGUAGCUAUGUACGGAAUGGAUAAGCGCUGAAAGCAUCUAAGCGCGAAG